AUCGCUUCUCGGCCUUUUGGCUAAGAUCAAGUGUAGUAUCUGUUCGUAUCAGUUUAAAACUAUGAGUAAAACUAGCUUAAAAAUAUAAUAUGUUUAUUGAUGGUUAUUAGAAUGCUU
This 117-nucleotide small nuclear RNA is filed under the name Suricata suricatta (meerkat). RNAcentral describes it as "U2 spliceosomal RNA (ENSSSUG00005011767.1)". It matches the Rfam family "U2 spliceosomal RNA", at positions 1 to 131 of the family's 192-position model. Rfam says of the family: U2 is a small nuclear RNA (snRNA) component of the spliceosome (involved in pre-mRNA splicing). Complementary binding between U2 snRNA (in an area lying towards the 5' end but 3' to hairpin I) and the branchpoint sequence (BPS) of the intron results the bulging out of an unpaired adenosine, on the BPS, which initiates a nucleophilic attack at the intronic 5' splice site, thus starting the first of two transesterification reactions that mediate splicing. The record is from RNAcentral. Lineage: Eukaryota; Metazoa; Chordata; Mammalia; Carnivora; Herpestidae.